Ilex paraguariensis (yerba mate) is the source of this 115-nucleotide non-coding RNA. The record is from the annotation of a GenBank genome assembly. Lineage: Eukaryota; Viridiplantae; Streptophyta; Magnoliopsida; Aquifoliales; Aquifoliaceae.
GCGAUCAUACCAACACUAAUGCACCAAAUCCCAUUAGAACUCUGCAGUUAAGCGUGCUUGAGCGAGAGCUGUACUUGGAUGGGUGACCCCCUGAAAAGUCCUCGUGUUGCACCCA